AGAGUUUGAUCCUGGCUACAGAGUGAACGCUGGCGGCAGGCCUAAUACAUGCAAGUCGAACGGCAGCACAGCAGAGCUUGCUCUGUGGGUGGCGAGUGGCGGACGGGUGAGGAAUACGUGGGAAUCUGCCCAGUCGUGGGGAUAACGUAGGGAAACUUACGCUAAUACCGCAUGCGCCCUUCGGGGGAAAGCCGGGGACCUUCGGGCCUGGCGCGAUUGGAUGAGCCCACGUCGGAUUAGCUAGUUGGCGGGUAAAGGCCCACCAAGGCGACGAUCCGUAGCUGGUCUGAGAGGAUGAUCAGCCACACUGGAACUGAGACACGGUCCAGACUCCUACGGGAGGCAGCAGUAGGGAAUAUUGGACAAUGGGCGCAAGCCUGAUCCAGCCAUGCCGCGUGAGUGAAGAAGGCCCUCGGGUUGUAAAGCUCUUUUGUCCGGAAAGAAAAGCGCCGGGUUAAUACCCUGGUGUCCUGACGGUACCGGAAGAAUAAGCACCGGCUAACUUCGUG
Molecule: ribosomal RNA, 509 nt
Filed under: uncultured bacterium
Lineage: Bacteria
Description: bacterial SSU rRNA
Rfam family: Bacterial small subunit ribosomal RNA
Source: RNAcentral